This 253-nucleotide ribosomal RNA is filed under the name uncultured bacterium. RNAcentral's name for it is "partial 16S ribosomal RNA". It matches the Rfam family "Bacterial small subunit ribosomal RNA", at positions 524 to 776 of the family's 1533-position model. The record is from RNAcentral.
UACGGGGUGAGCAAGCGUUGUUCGGAUUUACUGGGCGUAAAGGGCGCGUAGGCGGUAGCACAAGUCAGUUGUGAAAUCUCCGGGCUUAACUCGGAACGGCCAAGUGAAACUGUCAUGCUAGAGUGCAGAAGGGGCAAUCGGAAUUCUUGGUGUAGCGGUGAAAUGCGUAGAUAUCAAGAGGAACACCUGAGGUGAAGACGGGUUGCUGGGCUGACACUGACGCUGAGGCGCGAAAGCCAGGGGAGCAAACGGG